This 993-nucleotide non-coding RNA is filed under the name Pan troglodytes (chimpanzee). The record is from RNAcentral. Lineage: Eukaryota; Metazoa; Chordata; Mammalia; Primates; Hominidae.
UUUGUUUUGUUUUUUGUUUGUUUGGGGUUUUUUUUUGCAUAUGGCUUGUAAGAAGGGACUUGGGAUGAUGAAAGGUGACAUACACUGAAAUUGAUAAUGUAGCAAAAUUAAAAUGAACGGCAUAGCAAAAUGAACAGUUUAUAGUAUUUUCCUCGUGUGCCUCAAACAAAUGAUUGUAACAAGAAAUAUUUAGAAGGUAUUAUAACAAUCAUUCUGGCAAUCCAAUUUAGCUAUUUUGAGACAGGAAAUAAAAUCAGGGAAAAAAUGUAAGAACUUUCAUUUUUCUAAAGAAAAUGAAAAUACACUAUACCUAUGAAGAAAUGUAUGCUAUGUGAACACUUUUAAAAAACAACAUACUUGGAAUUUUUAAAAUAAGCCGAACAACCACAUGCUUAGAAGCUCUACCACAUGACCUCCUGAUCUUCCACGAUUCUCUACUGGUACAGAGACUUUAUCUUUCACACAGACUUCAAAUAUCUUUGGGAAUUUGUGCUCCUUAUUUACUGAGUGCUUGAGAAGAAAAGACAAAGCCAGUGGAAUGGUCCGAGUGUGGCAUCCGCUGCAUUUAUAAAGAAUAAGAGCUGCAGUGGGUGUGAUUCUUGGACAGAGUGGCACUCAUCCUUGUUCCUGCAAUGAAGGACAUGCCAGCCUCCAGGCUCUUUGACAGAUGAUUGGAACUGUGCAAGUAUUAUGGAAGAUACCCCGUGUCAAGAAGCUGACAGCACACACGUUUGGGAAGGAUUUAGUGGCUGAAGCACUUCUAGAAGGUACAUACAUGAUUGACUCACUCUCACUUUGAAAUGAAGCUAUUUACUUCUUUUACCUUGAGAAAUGCCAAAACCUAGGGGGAAAGACUUAUUAUUGGGUGCAAUGCAAAGUCUUCACAAUUAUAAUUAAAAAGUAAAGUUUUCAUGAUUGUUAUUAAUUUACUAAGUGAUAAUCAUAACAGAAAAUAAAAUAUAUCUGAAUAUUACAUCAUAAGAUAUAAUCUUA